Molecule: non-coding RNA, 215 nt
Organism: Pelobates cultripes (western spadefoot toad)
Lineage: Eukaryota; Metazoa; Chordata; Amphibia; Anura; Pelobatidae
Source: the annotation of a GenBank genome assembly
CGGCAAUAAGGCCAGCUCCCAUCUCACUAUAACACAGCAAUAAGACCAGCUCCCAUCUCACUAUAACACGGCAAUAAGACCAGCUCCCAUCUCACUAUAACACGGCAAUAAGACCAGCUCCCAUCUCUCUAUAACACGGCAAUAAGGCCAGCUCCCAUCUCACUAUAACACAGCAAUAAGGCCAGCUCCCAUCUCACUAUAACACAGCAAUAAGG